RNAcentral lists this ribosomal RNA (301 nucleotides) under uncultured bacterium. RNAcentral describes it as "partial 16S ribosomal RNA". It matches the Rfam family "Bacterial small subunit ribosomal RNA", at positions 509 to 807 of the family's 1533-position model. The record is from RNAcentral.
CAGCCGCCACGGGAAUACGAAGGGGGCUAGCGUUGCUCGGAAUGACUGGGCGUAAAGGGCGCGUAGGCGGUUCGUACAGUCGGAUGUGAAAUUCCUUGGCUUAACCUGGGGGCUGCAUUCGAUACGUGCGGGCUUGAGUGUGGAAGAGGGUUGUGGAAUUCCCAGUGUAGAGGUGAAAUUCGUAGAUAUUGGGAAGAACACCGGUGGCGAAGGCGGCAACCUGGUCCAUGACUGACGCUGAGGCGCGAAAGCGUGGGGAGCAAACAGGAUUAGAUACCCGCGUAGUCCCUGUCUCUUAUAC